Molecule: RNA transcript, 2650 nt
Organism: Paramacrobiotus metropolitanus
Lineage: Eukaryota; Metazoa; Tardigrada; Eutardigrada; Parachela; Macrobiotidae
Exons: 6
Source: RefSeq, a predicted model, not a curated record
UUAAACGUGCUACAACGGUGCAAUAAGAUCCUGUUAAGAUUUUUACAGAAUCGAGCUAUUACCGUUAUCGGAAAACAAUCAUUUUGCUGUAUUCCGCCAAAAUAAAAUGGCUUGUCAAAAAUUAAGACCCUCGCUGAUAAUACUAUUGUUUUCCGCGGUCCUAUGGAAAGGUGAUGCCCACCGAUUUCAUUUUCAGGCCAGAAAAGUCGAAGAUGCCUCGCCCCUGGCUAACGUAUCCCUAACCGCUACUUUACGGAGCAAUAACGGUGUUAUUUUCCGGAAGCUUACAAAGUCCACCAAUAUGUUCGGAGAGUUCACCCUGAUACUACCAGAAAGUUGCCAGACAUUGCGAGAUAACAGCAAUUAUACUAUCGUUUUCCAGUUGCCGGACUAUCGUGCUAUUACGUUGCCCGUGUUCGAUUCUGACAUAAAACAAAAUCGUGAUACGUUUCUGGAGCCCUUAAUCUUCAUUCACAACCGAUUCCGUGGUGCUUAUUUGGCUGCAGGACAGGUGCUUUUGGAGAAAUCAGUGUAUGGUAGCAAUUUGACUGGAACAACGAUAACAUUGCGGUCUGGUCUACGAAAUUAUGAUGGCAAGGUCGUGGGUAGGCAGGAAACACGCAAUGAGGGAGACUGGGUUAUGAUCAACCCGACAGGUUACUACACUGCUACUGUGCAGCGGAGAAACUACCGGACAGAAUCGUUUACUGUGAUCUCAGUUGGCGGGAAUUUCGGCGGUCCGUAUACAGCUGAUGAUUUCCAAAUGCUGCCUCAAGGUCAAACGAGAAAUGACGAAAUUCGUAUAGUACUAAGAGGAGGACGUUACGAUACACAGAUGCAGUGUUCUCCGUGUCUGCAGUUAGUGGUGAAAGGGCCCGUUGAAGGUAUUCAGGAGCGAAGGCGGGUUGAGCCUGCGCUGUCCAAGAUAAGGAACGAGAACCACAUGCGAAAUGAUUUCAAUGGCUUGAUUGCUCAGAGCAUAUUGAUUGCGAAACAGCUGAGCGGUACAUACGAAAUCAUUGUCUACGACUGAGAGACUCGCGAGAACCUUAACAGUUCGGCAAUGAAAGAUUCUAGAGCCGUGUUGCAGAUUUACCGCGGUAAUGAAUUAUGGGACCGUUUCUAUGUACCAAAUCGAGAUGGCAAUACAUGGAUCGUGGCCAACAUCACUGGAACGAAUCUGACGGUCAUCAACGAGGUGGUAUCGGUCAUACAGCCGACAGACUGGAAGCCGAAACACAGCGCGCUGGCUGAAUGUGCGCUCCUCGGCAGCGAAUGUGAGAACACGCUGGGAUGCUGCGGCUACUUGACGUGUACCAACGGAAUCUGUACUGGCCGACCCUGGCAAGCUUUUAUGGAAGAGGCGCCAAACGCUUUAGACAUGAGGACGCGAAUUUUAGCCACCUGUUCCGAUACAUUAUGACGCCGAUCACUCUUCUUGCUGCAGCCAGAAUGUCUGCAUUUCUCCACGACCUUUUACAAACACCAUGCCACGUGAUUGAAAACCCACAUCAGGAAAAUUCUCCGUCAAAAUUUGCGAUGUCACUAAACUUAAUUGCACUUUAUCGCUUUCACUGCUAGAACACAUCCGUGCUGCAACAUUAACCGUGUCGCCAAACCUGAAAGAUCGGCGGUGAAUAAAAAUAGCAGUUAUGGAGGCCGGUCGGGACAUUUUAAAAAUAUAUCAUGGAAGUCCAUCGUACUUACAAACAAUACCGAGGCCUGUUGAGACCAACCACUCCAGCUGCACACGUUCCUUUUGGAGUGCAUCAAAAUCCGGUUAGGUAUAUUAAAUUAUUUCGUGUAAAGAACGUUUAGAUUGGUAAUACCGGAAUGCAAACCGCCGCGCAGCCAUAGCGACAGAGUGCGUAGCGUUGUUGAUCGUCUAAACAAUUCCAGCAUCUUCGACGCCAUGAGGCAAAUCUCGCGGGCAUGUUGCUGACCAUUUCGAACAGUGAUCGCCUAUCGUCUCCACUUUAUAUACAUCGAAGCCGGCAAUCGCGGUAUCCAGUGUUUUAAAGAUAUGCGUCAAGAUCUCCAGCGAAGCAAUCGGCAUACAUUUGACAACAAUCUCGUCGAAUCCCAUUACAUCGCUGAAAAACACGGUCGUGCUCUCGUAUUCCUCGGCCAUCACAUGUUCGCCUUUUCGCAGGUUCUCCACAAGAUCCCUAAUCACAACCAAAGAUAUACGUCCCAUGCGAUCGCCACUCAUCCAGUAGAACCAACCGUGGCAGAAGCUGCACUAAUAAGCGUUCACUCUUCUCGCGCUCAUGGAUAAGCUGCGCCGUCUUUGCGGACACCUCCGCCUCCAAUUUUUCUGAAUACGUUCCCAAGCGCCGCAAAAUCUUAUCCACAACGUUACCGGAAAAGUCUUUCAUUUCACCGAGAAUUUCUUCGACUUCCAUGCAUGCCGACAAAGCCGAUGGACGCAGCGUGAAAUCAAUGUUGAGGCAUGAAUUCGCCAAGUCUUCAAUGGAUACGGUAGCAGGAAGUGUUUCCAAGGCAGUGUUACGCCUGAUAUGUGUGUCAGUCUCCUUAGAUAAGACGCCCUUUGGGUGCAUAUCAUACGCUACAAAUAGAAGCCGUUUUAAUUUAAACGAUGUAACGUACUGCUUUUCACACAGCUAAUCAUUUGGGUUUUGGUGAAAUC